ACAGUUGCUCGUAGAUGUACACUCUACAAGACUACGAUUGCUCGAGGAUACCGCACCCCAAGACUUUACCUUGCUCGUGGAUACCACACCACAAGACUUCACACACUAAGACUUAGGGUACUUAGCGAACCCGACAAAUGAGAAGAUAUGUUCUUCUCAAACACCUUUCUCCUCUUACACAAGAACUCUCUCAAAAGAGUGGAUAAAGAGAUACAAAUUUAGCUCUAUGAACAACACA
RNAcentral lists this long non-coding RNA (238 nucleotides) under Nicotiana benthamiana. RNAcentral describes it as "long non-coding RNA (NBEN_LNC012854)". Lineage: Eukaryota; Viridiplantae; Streptophyta; Magnoliopsida; Solanales; Solanaceae. The record is from RNAcentral.